GAUCCUGGCUCAGGACGAACGCUGGCGGCGCGCCUAACACAUGCAAGUCGAACGGAGCUUAGAGAGCUUGCUUUUUAAGCUUAGUGGCGAACGGGUGAGUAACGCGUGAGUAACCUGCCCUAGAGUGGGGGGACAACAGUUGGAAACGACUGCUAAUACCGCAUAAGCCCACAGGUCGGCAUCGACCAGAGGGAAAAGGAGCAAUCCGCUUUGAGAUGGCCUCGCGUCCGAUUAGCUAGUUGGUG
RNAcentral lists this ribosomal RNA (245 nucleotides) under uncultured bacterium. RNAcentral describes it as "partial 16S ribosomal RNA". It matches the Rfam family "Bacterial small subunit ribosomal RNA", at positions 15 to 254 of the family's 1533-position model. The record is from RNAcentral.